This 406-nucleotide ribosomal RNA is filed under the name uncultured bacterium. RNAcentral's name for it is "bacterial SSU rRNA". It matches the Rfam family "Bacterial small subunit ribosomal RNA", at positions 355 to 776 of the family's 1533-position model. The record is from RNAcentral.
UCGAGAAUCUUCCGCAAUGGGCGAAAGCCUGACGGAGCAAUGCCGCGUGCGGGAUGAAGGUCUUCGGAUUGUAAACCGCUGUCACCCGGGACGAACAGAUGACGGUACCGGGGGAGGAAGCCACGGCUAACUACGUGCCAGCAGCCGCGGUAAUACGUAGGUGGCGAGCGUUGUUCGGAAUUACUGGGCGUAAAGGGUUCGUAGGGGGUUCGCCAAGUCUGGCGUGAAAUCCAACGGCUCAACCGUUGAACUGCGCUGGAAACUGUCGGACUGGAGCGUCAGAGAGGAGAGCGGAAUUCCUGGUGUAGCGGUGGAAUGCGUGGAUAUCAGGAAGAACACCGAAGGCGAAGGCAGCUCUCUGGAUGAUGGCUGACCCUGAGGAACGAAAGCGUGGGUAGCAAACAGG